GCAAGGGAACACCAUGGCCGAGGCCAUCCAUCCCUACAUCUCGCGCUUGAGGAAGAUCCACACAGGUCGAUCUUAAUUUCUCUCCCGGCAUUGGCGUUCCCAAACCCGGCCGCCUGGCAGACUCCGACCGAUGGCGAAGUUGAGGAACAGCGUCGGCGGUCUCACCCUGACCCCAUUGGCGCUGCUAGUUUGGUACCGAUAGGAGGUGGUUCGGCGACUUCAUUAAUCAGAGGAGUAGGCCGGCACCAGGUUAUAUGUACUGCUUAGGCAGGAUCUCAACCAUAUUCCGAAAAUCCCGAGGGCACGAAGAAAUUGCGGCUGCAGCAACAGACAAGGCCGAGCAUCCUGGAAAGAAGAACCUGACACCCUCAACCCCAC
This 378-nucleotide long non-coding RNA is filed under the name Zea mays. Its description in RNAcentral is "long non-coding RNA NONZMAT003667". The record is from RNAcentral. Lineage: Eukaryota; Viridiplantae; Streptophyta; Magnoliopsida; Poales; Poaceae.